GACGAACGCUGGCGGCGUGCCUAACACAUGCAAGUCGAACGGAACUUACCGAAUGAAGUUUUCGGAUGGAUUUUGAUAAGUUUAGUGGCGGACGGGUGAGUAACGCGUGAGUAACCUGCCUUCAAGAGGGGAAUAACGUUCUGAAACGACUGCUAAUACCGCAUAAUGUCAUUUGGGGGCAUCCCUGGAUGACCAAAGAUUUAUUGCUGAAAGAUGGUCUCGCGUCUGAUUAGCUGGUUGGCGGGGUAACGGCCCACCAAGGCGACGAUCAGUAGCCGGUCUGAGAGGAUGAACGGCCACAUUGGGACUGAGAUACGGCCCAG
Molecule: ribosomal RNA, 323 nt
Filed under: uncultured bacterium
Lineage: Bacteria
Description: bacterial SSU rRNA
Rfam family: Bacterial small subunit ribosomal RNA
Source: RNAcentral